RNAcentral lists this ribosomal RNA (460 nucleotides) under uncultured bacterium. Its description in RNAcentral is "partial 16S ribosomal RNA". It matches the Rfam family "Bacterial small subunit ribosomal RNA", at positions 338 to 795 of the family's 1533-position model. The record is from RNAcentral.
CCUACGGGCGGCAGCAGUGAGGAAUAUUGGUCAAUGGGCGGGAGCCUGAACCAGCCAAGCCGCGUGAAGGAAGAAGGCGCCAAGCGUCGUAAACCUCUUUUGUCGGGGAACAAAGGGCGCCACGUGUGGCCUUGUGAGUGUACCCGAAGAAAAAGCAUCGGCUAACUCCGUGCCAGCAGCCGCGGUGAUACGGAGGAUGCGAGCGUUAUCCGGAUUUAUUGGGUUUAAAGGGUGCGUAGGUUGUUUUUUAAGUCAGCGGUGAAAGUUUGUGGCUCAACCAUAACAUUGCCGUUGAAACUGGAAGACUUGAGUGUGUUUGAGGUAGGCGGAAUGCGUGGUGUAGCGGUGAAAUGCAUAGAUAUCACGCAGAACUCCGAUUGCGAAGGCAGCUUACUAAGCCAUAACUGACACUGAAGCACGAAAGCGUGGGGAUCGAACAGGAUUAGAUACCCGAGUAGUC